AGGCGAGCGGCGGCCGGCGGCCAGCAAAGGCCAUGAUGGAUCCUGCCGAGCCAAUUUGCACCGCCGCCGUCGCCGUAGGAAUCUGACCGUCGACGACACCUUGCUGGUCUGGAGUUCGUUCUAGGUGGUUUCUUUCUUAACUCCAUUUUCCACAACAAACUGCAAGUGGAACAUUCUGGAUUUCUCUCCUAAAAAUUCAUUUGUUGGAGAGCUCCCACCUCCGUGGGAUCCUAUAUCAACACCCACAUUCAGUAUGAGCUGACGGUACAUGGAUGUUUUUUGAAGAUCACAUGAACAAAAUGAACAGAGUUUCCAAGAGUUUCCAAAAUGAACAGAGUCUCCUAAUUUAUGCCGAACCGUUGCGCAUUACGUGACUGAAAAUUUGUGUUUUAAUUCCUGAUGCAUGUUGGAUGUUUACUAUACAGACUUGGGUUAAAUUGUUGCCAUAAAAAUUGAAUCUUUUGUAACUUACGCUGAAAUA
Lolium rigidum is the source of this 481-nucleotide long non-coding RNA. RefSeq lists it as uncharacterized. NCBI's taxonomy places the organism in Eukaryota, Viridiplantae, Streptophyta, Magnoliopsida, Poales, Poaceae. The transcript has 3 exons. The record is from RefSeq and is a predicted model, not a curated record.